CAGUAGCCGCGGUAAUACGUAGGUGGCAAGCGUUGUCCGGAAUUAUUGGGCGUAAAGGGCUCGCAGGCGGCUUCUUAAGUCUGAUGUGAAAGCCCCCGGCUCAACCGGGGAGGGUCAUUGGAAACUGGGAAACUUGAGUGCAGAAGAGGAGAGUGGAAUUCCACGUGUAGCGGUGAAAUGCGUAGAGAUGUGGAGGAACACCAGUGGCGAAGGCGACUCUCUGGUCUGUAACUGACGCUGAGGAGCGAAAGCGUGGGGAGCGAACAGGAUUAGAUACCCGAGUAGUCCCUGUCUCUUAUAC
Molecule: ribosomal RNA, 301 nt
Filed under: uncultured bacterium
Lineage: Bacteria
Description: partial 16S ribosomal RNA
Rfam family: Bacterial small subunit ribosomal RNA
Source: RNAcentral